UCCUUGUAACUUAGGUGGGUCAAUUUCUCCACCUGGUUGCCCAUCACGCUGCGGACACACGUUCACACCGCCGCAAGGGGAGAAAGCGAAACCAACUCCAGGGUCAUUUGCACAGGUCCCCGGACAGGGGCUGAGGCUACCUGUUGGGAGAGGAAGGCAAGAAAGCCAUGCAGGAGCCCCUCCGUGAAAAGGGCGUUUUGUUCCGAAAAAGAAUCGGUGGGGGCUCAGCACCUGGAGCCAUUUUAGGGGGAAGUCUCGGGUGUAGCGAGCUUUCCCUCGUUUCUCCACCUGUAAGGUCACGGUCACAGGAGACUGGGCAACUCCUGUUCUCCCUGUCCCCAGCCCUUCGCCUGGCCCUGGCAAAAGCCCAUUGCAUCAGCAGCUUCUACUGCUUCCGCCUGCGCCCUACCUGCCAAGCUUGGGCAGGAAGAGGGAAGGAAAGAGAAACUUUACGCCAAUCCCCCCCCUCCUCUGCUAACUUCCCCUCCCACCCUCGGGCCCUAACUAGCCCCGGGGACGCCUCCUCCCCACCAACGCAUCCAUCCCCAGAGGAACAAGCGAGGAUCUCAGAGCGCGACCUGGACAGGCUCUCACAAAAGUCACCGCGUUUGUGUAGGUAACUAAGGCCUACCGAAACCAGUCAGCCCUAAGUGCACACAGGAGAACCAUGGAGUUGGAGGAAAAGUCCAAGGUAGCCUGCUGGAUGGUGAGAGACACUUGCCUCAGUUUCUUGGUCAUCCUAGCCUACAAUCAGCUGUUUUCAGAAACAGAGUUGCCUAGCUGACCUGCAAUUGACCAUGGAUGCACGAGUGAGCCCAGCUGAGCUUAACGCACUCAAUGGAUUGGAUAAUGCCUGCCCACAUUAGUGAGAGUGGAUAUUUUUACUCAGCCUACUGAUUCAAAUGCUAGUCUCUUCUGGAAACAUCCUCACAGACACACUCAGAAAUAAUGUUUUACCAGCU
This 962-nucleotide long non-coding RNA is filed under the name Homo sapiens (human). RNAcentral describes it as "HSALNT0349785". Lineage: Eukaryota; Metazoa; Chordata; Mammalia; Primates; Hominidae. The record is from RNAcentral.